RNAcentral lists this long non-coding RNA (3335 nucleotides) under Heterocephalus glaber (naked mole-rat). RNAcentral describes it as "lncRNA (ENSHGLG00100034497.1)". The record is from RNAcentral. Lineage: Eukaryota; Metazoa; Chordata; Mammalia; Rodentia; Bathyergidae.
CUCAGUGGCACUGUGCCUGCCUUGCAAGUGGAAGGUCCUGAGUCCGAUCUCCAGUACCAAAAAAAAAAAAAAGAAUGUAUCACUGGUUCUCAAAUGGGGACAAUGGGGACAGUUUUCUCCCACCUUCAGGAGAGAACAUUUGUUUGGAGAUGUCAUUGUUUGUCAGAGUGGGGACACACACACACACACACACACACGCACACACACACAAUCACUCACACACCCCUCAUGGGUACAGAGAGGCCAGGGAUGCUGCUAAACAUCUUACAUACACAGGAAAGCCCCCACAACAAAGAAUUAUUCAUUCUAAAGUGUUAAUAAUGUGGAGGCCAGGAAAGCCUAGAGGCAGACAGUGCCCAGCACAGGGUUGUUCAAGAGAAGCUUGUGGGUGUGUGCCUAUCUGGUAUGAUGGGAAGUGGCUUGAAGCUUUUUUAUACCAGAGUAGAUAACAGUUUCCCUCUUAAAAAAUAGGAUGGCUGCUGAAGUUUGGGAGUGGAUGGGUAGUGGGAUAGAGAUGCUUCACAUGCAAUUGUAUACUAUUGAGAAAUUAAGGAUGUAGAAAACACUCCAGAAUUUAUGAGAUAUAGCCCAGCUAUUCUAAAAGCAAAUGCCAGGAUUAAAUGCUUUAUCAUUAAACUAGAAAUAAGGAAAUUUAACUCGGCAAGCUGGAAACAGAAGAAGGAACACAAAGAACGAGAUAACAAAAGAUUAAAAAAAAAGAGGCGAAAUUAAGAUAAAAGCAAAAAUUAAUGAAUUAGAAAACAAAAUCUAUAACUUGAAUAAAUGCAUUUAAGACAAUAAAAUAGACAAUUUUGCAAACUUAGGACAAUAAAUAGAAUUAGAUACAAGUGGAUCUAGAAAUGGAACAAAAACAUUGAGAACGAAACUGGUGGAAACUGUGUGGGGGUGCUGUGGGCAUGGGUGACAGACUUGGCAGUUUGUUGUUUAUUUAACACCUAUUUACUGCUGUGUUCCAGCUACUGCUCUAAGCACUGAGCAUAGUGCACUGAACAGACAAAAAUUAGUGUCUACAGAGCACUCCAUUCUGAGCUCUAGUGAGCCAUCAGUUCAGCUGAGGCCCAAGUCUGGCCCAAGUACUUGGAUCCCAAAAUGUUUGUUGAAUGGCCAGGAAAAUACUGAGGCUUAGGUGAUGAGAGGAAUUUAAACUUCUAGAAAGCCUAAAUCCAGAGGAAAAAGAGGAACUCACUCUGUAAGAAAAUUAAUAUUUGUUUUGAGACAGGGUCUUGCUGUGUUGCCCAGGCUGGUCUCAAACUCCUGGGCCCAAGUGAUCCUCCCACCUCAGGCUCCUGAGUUCUGGGACUCCAGGCUCAUGCCACAGCACAUAGCUAGAAACUCUCCCACCCUGGCCAGCCUGAGGUACUGGGGGAUUGAACCCAAGGUGUUCAUACUGAGCCACCUUUCCCAGUUCCUCCCCCAGCCUUUUUUGAAACAGAGCCUCUCUAAGUCACUAAGUUGCGCAGGCUGGGCUUGAACUUACAAUCCUCCUGCCUCAGGCUUGCAGAGUGUUGGGAUUACUGGUGUGUGAAGGUUAUUAUUUCUGAAGGACCCAGGGAGCCAACCUGUUAUCUCACCAAGCAUUGAUGCAUCUGAAGUGCUGUGAGACUGACUGACCAGCACUCAAUUACCCAAUGUCUGAGAAAUAAAGACUCCUUCCUCUCCUUCUCUGUCCCUAUCCCAGACCUGCAGGUCAAAAGGAAAGAAACUCCUUCCAGGAACUGGAGCCAUUGUCAGCACAGACACUUAGGAGGUCGUCUUUGUGACCACACGACUCUCCAUGGAGGCCACUCUUGGCUGCCCCCCAGCCUUUGUCUUCUAGGCCAGUGGCAGCUUUUAUGACUGGUGGGCUGCUCAGAGUUUCUGCAGAAAUAUUCUGUGGCCAGUUGCAAAGCACCAUGGAGAGCAGCUUCCCUGGCUUCUGUGUGGGAUUUGCCUUCACAAGAGAGGAGCAAGAAAGAGCUCAGUGGAUUGAUGAGAAGGCAUUUUUAACAGAUCACCUCUGCCUUUGUUAACAGUGGCAGACAUGUCCUGCUCAUCUUGUGCUUGGCAUCCAUGAACUCAAUCAAUCCUCACAGCUCCAUGAGGCAGAUUCCGCUGUCAUCCCAUUUUACAGAGAACACGACUGAAGUGAGUGGUGAUUGUGGAUUAAGGACAACUGUGAGACUUGACUAGUUGAAUUUGAAUAAAAGAACCCUUUUGUGGCUCCUGCUGAGAUCUCUGGGCCUAGAGGCUGAGCUACUUGAGCAAACUUUAUUCCUCAGGAGGACAUGGAGGAGCUGGUGAGAUGGCCCAGGACACGGGCACAUAGCUGCUGUUUUACGCCCAGGCCCACGGUUAGCAGGAAGAGGAUGUUUCUCUGAAGGAGGCCUCCAACAGCCAAGAUGGGAGGGUGUAGAUGGGGUGAGGGUUGCAGAAGGAGUGGGUGUAAUUUGUUGGGCAAAACCAACUUUGCACUAGAAGCAGGAAGAAACACUUACCGGUUUAUUAAUUAUAGGAUGCUUAGGACUGGAUUUGCCUUUGAAUGUGGGGGAAACAACCCAUGGCUUAAACAAACAGCUCCAAAAAACCCCCAAAAGACAAAAAAACAGCUCCAUCAUUCAACAAUAAUUAGCAGCAACAAUAGGCAUCUUCUUACAACUAGAUUGACAAGUGGCCCACAACACACAGCCCCAAGCCUGGCCCGGAACUGGGCCUCGAUGCCACACCUGUAGGACCAGCCAGCCCACAGUGUGAGCAGGGGCACAGAAGUGACAUGUUCUUUCUUAGGGUAUUUGUUGAGAACUUGCUCUGUACUGGGUUCUGAGAGGAGCACAAAGGAAAGUGAGAAAAACAUAAGAGAAAUGGGAUAUUACCCAGAAUCCAACGAACUGGGGAGACAAGGUUAAGCCUGAAAAGUUAACGGUAGCACAGAAAAAUACAUGUCACAAAUACAGUGGAUGCACAGAGCCAAAUGGACUUAUGGUGGAGAUUCCACACCAGAAGGUGAGAAGAGGGAUGGAGCCGCGGGGUCAGCAUUGCCAGUGAGAUUUCAGCCAGCACACACUGCAACACUUCUAGUAGAACAAGUAGGAGGUCUGGGGAUGAAGGCCAGUGGCAGAGCACUUGCCUAGCAUCCAUAAGGCCCUGGGUUUUAUCCCCAGCACCACACACACACACACACACACACACACAAAUAAGAAACACAAAGAAGAAAAUAAAAAAUCAUGUCAAAGGUGUGUAUUGUUACUAUUUAGGUUGUAUCCUUUAAGUUUUUUUCCUAUGCAUAGGUGUAUACAUAUUCAUGUGCACAUACAUUUUUUACAUAAAUGUGUUCGUAC